Molecule: long non-coding RNA, 1301 nt
Filed under: Monodelphis domestica (gray short-tailed opossum)
Lineage: Eukaryota; Metazoa; Chordata; Mammalia; Didelphimorphia; Didelphidae
Description: lncRNA (ENSMODG00000037491.1)
Source: RNAcentral
CGGCAGUUGUAAAUGAUGCCGGCAAGAUUCUGUGGUGUGCCUCCCUUCCCGACGGGACCUCCACUCAGCGAGCUGAACUGGUCACCCUGACUAUGGCCCUGCACUUGGCUAAGGGAAAACAGUUGAUAGUCUACACUGACAGCCGAUACCCCUUUGCCACCCUGCACGUUCACGCCCCAAUUUACCGGGAAUGAGGAUACGUCACCUAAGCGGACUAUGGGCCAGCUUCUCUCUACCCACCUGCAUCAUCUUACCCACAUGGGGGCCACCAAGUUGCGAAUGCUAGUCCGGAAAGAGCAGGUUCAAUUCCAGGGCUCUAGCAGUUUUCUAAAUGAAUUAGUUCAGAAGUGCAAGACUUGCCAGCUGACCCGGGCUGCGAAAGAAGACACCCACCUCGGAACCAGGCUUUGCGGUACUCACCCCUGUGAACACUGGGAGGUUGAUUUCACUGACGUCAAGCUGGGAAACUACAACAGGAUCUUUGGUCCCACUUGUAAGCGCAGUUCCAGCCUCUUCCUCACACUCUACAUUCCUUUAAACCCAGGGAUUGGGUCUGGGUCAAGAGACACCAGAAGCGGGCACUCCAGCCCCACUGGAAAGGGUUGUUUGUUGUCCUUUUUGUAACUCCUUCUGCCCUAAAGGUUGAAGGGAUCGGCCCUUGGAUCCAUCACUCCCAUGUCCAACCUGAGAACCCCCUUGACCCCAGCGGUGUUGCCUAAACUAUUCACAGCCGGUCUGACAACCCCUUGAAGAUCCAUCUGACCUGCGACAUUUUGGCCGUAUCUUGGGCUCUGCUUCACUUCCACCCUGCUACAGACCCUAGCCGUCGGAUAUCAGCCCCACAGUGCCUCCUUUUGCCAACCCUCACUGACCCUGGAAAUGGAGGCUAUCCAGCUGAGAUUCAUCAUCUAUUCUCUCUACUCAGACUACAUUGGGAGCGCCCUCCCUAAUGGCCCACACUUGUGACCUGAUAUGGGGUCCCCAAGCCCAAUGAAACCUCAGUAAACCCUGCAGAAAUGUUGGGAUUUUUUACUUUUGCCCCUCCUCAAACCCUGGAAAAUCCUACUGUAAUUCCCCCAGCUCCUACUUUUGUGCCUCCUGGGGCUGUGAAACAUUUGCCACAGGGGGGAAUAGGAUUGAGGGGUGCUCCCGGUGGAAACCAGUCCCCAAUGACCAGUGGUUAACUGUGAAAUGGCAUUGGUGUGAAUUGCUCACACCAAUGCCACAUUUAGAUGAUCAGGAAGGGACCACAUGUGACGCUAUGGUCUUCAUGCCACAACAACCUAUACAUGAGUCCUGGG